RNA transcript from Lathyrus oleraceus (garden pea), 2574 nucleotides. It is a transcript of the gene named protein transport protein Sec24-like CEF, with no coding region annotated. The record is from RefSeq and is a predicted model, not a curated record. The transcript has a single exon. NCBI's taxonomy places the organism in Eukaryota, Viridiplantae, Streptophyta, Magnoliopsida, Fabales, Fabaceae.
CAAUUUCAUUCAUAAGUGACAACUACACUUAUCCAAUUCAUGACAAAUGUUCAUUACAUGGGGGAAAAUACAAUUUUUUUUUUGAAAGUUUAACCACAUGUUGACUUUGGUCAACAGUUAACUUUUUGACCAACUUUGAACAAAGUCAACACAAACCCAAAACCCUAAAUUCGCAUCCUAAGCCCUUUGCCCAUUGUCAAAGUAUCCAUAUUAGGCUUUGGCGUACCAUUCGGGCAUGAGGUUUCACAAUUCAAAUUUUAGCCAGUUUACCUUGUCCAAAUGCAUGUGCACGUGAUAGAUAACUAUGGUGGACCUCUUUCUAACCCCAAAUAAAUCAAAGCAAGGAACCAUGCCUGAAAUUUACAAAGGAAUGGGGUUUAUCCCCAUUGGUGUCAUGGAUAUAUCUAUUGAUGGGAAUCCUGUUUCCUCCAAGAAUAGUCACAACAGUAGGGAUUAUCCUGCAGCUGUUGCGGCCAAAACGAGUCAUCCAGCUAAAAAUUCCCCAUUGAAGAAUUAUGCUUUGAGGCAACCCAUUCAAAAGAAGGCAUUAGGCAGGGAUGCUCAGAGCCUGCUGGAGUAUUUUAAGAAAGUGCAGGUCGAAAACCCUGGUUUCUUCUAUGCAAUUCAACUUGAUAAUCGCAUGUCUGGUGUGCUUUGGACAGAUGCCCGUUCCAGGACAGUUUAUAGUCAUCUUGGUGAUACAGUUCAUCUGGACAUCACAUGCAGAGCUAACCAGUAUAGAGUGCUAUUUGCUCCUUUUACUGGAGUAAACAAUCAUGGUCAGGUGGUUUUGUUCGGUUGUGCACUCCUCUUUUAUGAUUCAAAGGCUUCUUUUUGUGGCUCUUUAAGACAUUUCUCACAGCAAAGAGUGACUGAUAGCCUGUCUCGAUAAUUACCGACCAAGACAGAGUCGUACAGGAAGCAGUUUAACAAGUUUCGCCACGGGACUACCACUGCAAUUUAGGUCCAGAUGGUCGACGUAAAGAUGCUGAUGAAAAGUCUGAGCUAUGUAAAGGAACGAUUGAGUUUGUUGCUACUAAAUAAAUCAUGGUCCGUGAGCCAAUGCCCGUUGUGUAUUUCUUUCUUGAUGUAUCAUUUAAUGUAGUUCAAACUGGUGCAACUGCGACAACUUCCGGUAUCAUAAAUCCAAUUAUUGCAGGCCUUCCUGAAGGUCCUCGUACACAGGUGGGAAUUCCGAUGUUUGACUCAACUCAUUUUUACAACUUGAAGCGUGCGUCGCAGCAGCCACUGAUGCUCAUUGUUCCUGAUGUCCAAGAUGUUUAUACUCCUUUGCAAACUGAUGUAAUUGUUCCACUACUUGAGUGAAGUCAACAUUUAGAAUUACUUCUCGAAGGAAUUCCUACUAUGUUCCAAAGUAAUAGAACUUCUGAAUCAGCCUUUGGUGCAGCAAUCAAGGAAACUUUCCUUGCAAUGAAAUACACUGGAGGAAAGCUUAUGGUUUUCCAGUUAGUCUUGACAUCUAUUGGCAUUAGCACCCUUUCUGCACGCGAAAUCGAAGGGAGAACCAACAUCUCUGCAGGGGAAAAGGAAGCACAUAAAUUACUUCAACCAUCAGAUAUAACAUUGAAAGAAUUAGUAGUUGAACUUGCUGAGUAUUAGGUUUGUGUCGAUGUAUUUGUGACUACUCAGACUUACGUUGAUAUUGCUUCCACAUCGGCCAUCCCGCGAAUGACUGGUGGACAUGUAUAUUAUUAUCACCCAUUCUUAGCUCUUUCUAAUCCUGCAAAGCUUUACAAUGAUCUUAGAUGAAAUGUCACUAGACCACAAGGUUUUGAGGCUGUAAUGCGUGUGAGGUGCAGUCAGGGCAUCCAAGUACAAGAAUAUUAUGGCGACUUUUGCAGACGUAUCCCAACGGAUGUUGACUUACCUGGGAUUGAUUGUGACAAAACCUUCAUGGUGACUUUGAAACAUGAUGAUAAGUUACAGGAUGGAUCAGAAUGUGCCUUUCAGUAUGCAAAUGUGUAUGGCCAAAGGAGAAUGUGUCAUAACCUUAUCCCUGCCAGUCACAAGUAUGCUCAGUAAUCUAUUUCGGGCAGCUGACUUGGAUACUCGAUUUUGCUGUUUCUUAAAGCAAGUUGCUAGUGAGAUCCCUUCAAAGCCACUUCAUCUUGAUUAGGAGCAAGUGACAAACCUUUACACCAAUGCACUAUAUUCGUAUCUGGACAACUUAUUCUUCUGGAGGCCCUAAAAAACUUUUUGCUUAUGUACACACGUCCGUUAACUAAUAGUACAUGCUUGGGAACAGACAGAAGUAUAGAGGAACGAUCAUUUUGGAUAAAUUAUGUAUCCUUUCUAUCUGCUCCAUUAAUACUACUUGUGAUCCCAGGAUGGUGGCCUGUCAAACUCCAAGAUCAUUGCAAAGGAUUUGCUACUGCUGGCUUUGCUUGCAUAAUGUCUCGGUGUUCCCAAAUACUCACUGCCACGAAGAAACAGCGGGCAAUGAUAAACUAUGGAAGCAGAAGAUAAUGAUAAUGUCAGAAGGCUUAGGAUGUCUCAGCUACAGGAUGAUGUGAUUAACAUUAGCGAAAAUGGAGUUUCUAAGCGUUGCGACAA